CCCACUAACAUCGUCUCUGUCUUCUAGAGCCGUCGUCUUCUUCGUAUCUUUUCUUCUUCGACCGACUACAUAACCUAUGUGAAACGCCUUGGUUCCUCAUUGAAUCCACUUCAUAACGUCUCUCCAUUAACUCCAUCCGUUCAACUCUGCAAGUAAAUCGACUAUAAUGACCCCCUUUCUCAAUUUUCCAUCCCAAAUCCUAAUUCUUGAGACUAUAAAUAGGGAUAAAUAGUUCACCAAAUCUCACUGCUUCAGGAGAUUAAUCAAAUUCCAUAUCCUUAUUUCUGAUUUAAAUUAUGGUCGUUGUCCCAAACAGUGGUGGCGCUUCUUCUGUCUUUCUGGGGAGCACACACUGUCAAGAAAAGAGGAAAGCUCAUGGGAUUCAACAUGCUCCUGUUCUAUGAAAAGGUUUAAUAGACCUAAGCCAAGACUCGAGUUCUCGGUGGCUAAUCAAGUCGCAAGAAAUGGAAACUAAUGAUCCUAAGAUUUAUAAUAAAAAGAUCAGAUCUCACGAGAAGUUACAGCGUUUAAAUACCAUCAUGGCUGUCUAGAUGAUUGUAGAGUUCCUCAUGUAUACAUCGAUCCCCAGAUUGCUAUACCUGGUCUCCUCCAACAGGGCUUCAAAGUGGCAUGAAUUUUUCAGAGACUACUUGUGGUUGCCAAAAAAAUCGUUGGCAUUAAGACAGCAAAGUACGGAUAACGCAAAUCCAAAGCAAUUGUGGAUUUCCGGUCUUUUGCUUCUUUUGCUGGUUUAUGUCAUGGAGCAAGCAUUUCUUCACUCUGGAUUCCUAUUUAUCUGGUGCAUGAAAUCCUCUUGAUGUCAAGAGAAGCUAAUAAUUUUUUUUUAUUUAAACACAAACAAUGACAUCCACAUACGUAGGUUUGGCUGCAAAGGCAGCACCUGUCCAACCAACUUGUGCCGAGAGCUCUGCAGAGGAAGUGCACUCAAGAAGACACGCAAGGAAUAUUUAAUUAAGCUCUCUACAUUAAGACCCUCCUAUUUUUCCGAAGCUUCGUUGACGUUAUGCUUUUAAAAAAAACAGAGGCUUAUGUUUAAAAGAAAUUAGCUUCAUCACUUAAACUAUUUCAGCGAUCAGAGAUGAUUAAAUACAUUAGAGGUGUGGACAUGAGCUUUUACAAGGAAGACCCUUCCUCGGCAUAUGUUUGUCUCUUUGUUGCUGAGCUACUUCUCUACGUGUAGUUCACCAUGACUGCUCUCUCCUCUGCUUCCAUGUUCCACAUGUCCAUGGGUUUCUUUCUUUUCGUGAGUCUCUCUUCUCCUUCUUCGUGUCUGAUCGAAUGCUAUGCUGUUUAAUUUUCUUAAUCAAGUAUCUCAGAAUCUAUAAAUUGGACUUUCGUGUUACAUGCUUAUAUUCUCUUGCAGAUCUUCAAAAGAGGAUGAUGAUAAGCAUCCUUUCUAUUCUCAGGUUUCGUCUUACUAUUAGCUAAUCUUAAAUCAUGCUAAAGUCUCUAGCUUUGCUCUUCUAAAAUACAAAGCCUAGAGAGUGAGACAAACGCAGAGCUCGAAGCAGCAUCUUUGUCUCUGGGUCAGAGAUACAAUAACAAACUCUGGUUUCAUCUCAACAUGUUUCAAAAGAACUUUCGAAGAAGAAGGUGUGGAUGGUAUUUAUUGUCAUAAAAACAGAGAUUUUAAGCUUCGAAAUGGGACCCAAGGUUUGUGGAUUUUCCUGAAAAACAUAUCAGAGGAAUGAAGCCAUGAAAUAUGGAAAAGGAAGACGGUGAAGAAAUAGAUUUCUCAAGGUUUCUCAACCCGUUUUAUUCUGUUUGAGACAUAGAUUUGUAUGACCAGCAUAUGAACAUGGUUUGUUCCAGAUAUUUCUCUCCUUCCCUUGGCAUGCUGAAAAUAAAACAUUAUACUAGGUGAUUUACUCAUGGGAAUAAAUAUUUGCAAAAUA
Long non-coding RNA from Raphanus sativus (radish), 1916 nucleotides. RefSeq lists it as uncharacterized. The record is from RefSeq and is a predicted model, not a curated record. Lineage: Eukaryota; Viridiplantae; Streptophyta; Magnoliopsida; Brassicales; Brassicaceae. The transcript has 3 exons.